This is a non-coding RNA of Sus scrofa (pig), 5010 nucleotides long. The record is from RefSeq and is a predicted model, not a curated record. Lineage: Eukaryota; Metazoa; Chordata; Mammalia; Artiodactyla; Suidae.
GCCCUCCAGCGGGAGGAAGGGCCAGGGCCGCAGCCCUGAGCGGGGAGGUGGCACGGGGAGGACAGGAUGGGCGUUCCAGAGUGGCGUUGCCCAACUCGCUCUCUGUUUUAUUUUUAGUGUAAGGUAGUGCCUGGCGCAUGGUUGGUGCCCAGUAUUUGUCGGAAAAACAUGGGUGGCAAAGAACUUGGUCGCCGGAUCUCGAGGGCAAACUGCAGCCAUUGGAAGUCUUGAGCACAGAGAGAUACGUGGACGGGAAGGGCCAUAGAAUCCCAAUAUGGGGUUGGUGAGGGAGGAUUCUUGACUGAAAGGAUGUUCGCAGGUCUUGAGGGAAACUAGUCGUUAAGGCCUUUGAACAUGUCGCUAAGGAAUUUGAGAUAGGAUUGGAGUGGGGUUACCCUGGUGUUUGCUGAAGCAGUCCAGGGCGAGGAGGUGAGAAAUAGAGGUGUUCAUGGUGUAUCGUCUAAUGUAUGGAAAGGGAACAGUGGCAGAUUGAAUAACGGUAGUAAAUUUUGUUUCUUGGAGAGAAGCACUAAAUUUGAGAAGAGUGAAAAUAAGCGUUGAAGCUGCUGUUCUCAUGUUUGUUUUUCCAGGGGCCCAGUGAGAAUCAAGACCUUUGCUAUGUGUUCCUCAAGGUGUUGUCCGGAGCAUCUGGGUGUGUCAGAAAGUCCAGACUCUGACCUUAUAUGUUCAAGACUCAACCCUGCCAGCCCCUAGCUCUGUGGCCUUUGGCUGCUGCGAUCUGCUGGAGCCGAUAGCCCAGCUGCAUCUUCUGGGCAGUGCCAUCCUCCUCCAGGGCAGUGAUGAUCUGAAACACAGAGACCAGCUCAAGAGGGGAGACCAUCAGGCUCCUACCUGCCUUUGCCGCAGACAUCAAGAGGCCUCCUCAGGUGCCACAGCAGUUAUGGGAAGGAGCCCAGGAAACCCCAUGAGCCACCUUAUCUUAUUCCUCAGGGCCACAUAGGUGGGAGGCGAUUAUGACCGCAGAGUUGCUGUGGGGUUUUAAGGAUCAGUGUGGUGGGGAAUUAAGUAGUUUACUCACGAACCUAGCACUCACGGUAACAACUAUCACCUCCCCUGGUAAAAUCACUUUGGACACCAGCCUCACCCACCAUGUUGGCCCUCUUCCCAUGAACCUCCUAGAAGCCCUGCUCCACCCGUCCUGGCUCCACCGCCCACCAGACAAGCAAUUCCUGAAUUCCUACAAGCCAGGUGCUGGGCAAGGAGCGAGGACCUGUCAGUGAAGACAGGUGUGAUCCCUGCCUCAUGGGACUCACUGAAGGGGAGGCAGUACUGACCAAACUCCACAAGGGGACUGGUAUGUCACUAGCCACACCUCCCUCACAUCAGGACCUACGCUGCUCAGAGCAAAGGUCUGGCACUUGGGCUUCACACAUGGGCAUCACUCCUUUGUUAAAUGCCUGUCCCAACUCCAGGCCUGGGCCAAGAGGCAGACCCCUCAUCUUAGAGCAGCAAUGGCCACAUUCCUGGGCGAUGCAAAUGUCUGGGUAGCCAAUUCCAACAGGCACUCAGUGGAUUGAUGGGUGGACACUCUGAUCCUGAGGCCCAGUCCAGGAAAUCUCCCAGAAAGCCCCUCGCUGGCUCUGCUGUGCCCUCACCCACCCCACCCCUUUCCUGGGUUCUCCUCUCUGGCAGCCCAUGCAGCCCAGCUGGGCCCGCACCCACAGAGGUGGCCUGCACAGCACACUGCCACAUGCAGACUCAGGUAGGGUCUGAGUAAGCACAGGGUUGGGGCAGAGGUGGCCACUGCAUGUGCCUCCCAGCACAUCCUACAUACCAUCUCCGGGCCCCGGUAAAUCCCCAGCUACCCACCACCACCCGACACCACACCUGGGAGCCCUGAGGAGCCGGACAGGGAGGGCGGUGCACACAAGAGCCCAGUUAAUAGCAGGAAGCAGCUGAAGAACAGGGACUUUUCAAGCCAAGGGGCCCUGCCCCCCACCUCCCACUCUGUGCCCGAAGACCCAAAGUCUCCACACUCCACAGACCCAGACACUUUCUCACAUCACCCCGGGUUCUGCCCACCUGGUCAUAGUAUUUGUUGAUAUACUUGUAGAGCUCAUGCAAGGCCACUCUCGUCCCCAGGUCUCCAGAGUAGUUCUAGGGAGGAGGAGAAACCAGAGGUGAGAGAGAGGGGUGCUGCCAGCCACCACAGGAAGUCCAAGACCACAGAGAAAGGGAGGGGGUUGGAGGGACCUGGGAGGUGGAGGAAGGAAUGGGGCCCUAUGGUGGGAAGCACAGCCCCUCUACAGACACAGAAUCCCAGGCCAGGCGUGCUCAGCUGGGGACAGGAUAGGGCCAAAGGUCCCCCUUGCAGGAUAAUCCCCAGUCUGCAGUUUCACCAGGGCCUGAGGUCUCCACUGGGCCCUGCCUCUCUCCCUCUCAGGUCCCAGCUGGGACCCUCUGUCAUCCCAGGCGAUGGCAGAGCCAAGCAGCAUAAAAGCCGCUCACAAGCUCAGAUCCGGCAUAGUUCUGCUCUGAUCUCUUUCAGUCUUUCCUGAGGUCACACCCAGGCAGGCCAGGGACAGAAUCCCUGCCACCUCACUGCCUUGGAACUGUCUCUACAAACCCUCAAAGGGCUGGAGACAUCCAAGCACCUGGCUGAGUCAGGUUGGGAGGCAGCCAGGACAAGACCCCUGCUGCUCUCUGAUGAGAGCCUAGAGCCCUGGUCUUUUACAGAGGCAGUGGCAACACUCCACUUAUGCCCCAAGGGCUUCCCUGCAAAUUGGCUAUGUGAGGGGGAUGGUGUGAGGGGGCAGGCGGGACCCUGGUGGCAGGAGGUCUGUGUCAACUCAAGAGGCAGGAGGAGGGCCAUACCCUGGACAGCUCGGCCAGGAUGGAGUUCAUCUCUUGAUCACUGGCGGGGAUGGUCUGUCGGAUGUCUGCAUAAUACCUGCCAGAGAUCAUGGGUCCAGUAGCUGCUGGGCAGUCAACCCCACUCCAGGCCCACCCAUGGGCCUCAGCUGUCAACACCCACCAAUCUGUCCAGCCAUUAGCCACCAGACCCAAGCCCUUCCCCUCAUACCUUUCCACCAUCCGUUUGUAACGGGGAAUAUCCCGAGCAUACAGAAGUUUGUUGAUGGGGGAGUCCUAGGUGCCAGCAGGCAAAUAGUGCAAGGGAAAGAAGGAUGACAGCCCCUGUUAGGGUGACCAUCUGUUCCAAUUCUCUCAAGACUGUUUCAGUUUUAAAACUACAAGUCCUAAAUCUCAGGGCAGGCAACCAGAAUGGUUGGCCACCCCAGCCCUCCUGCUAGGACCUCCUGCCCUCCUACCCCUCCACCAACAUCCAGUCUCUGCUGUCAUCACCCCAAGCUUCUUCCCAUCUCACUCCAAGGUCAUCUAUCAACUCAAUGUGCCUCUGCCUGGACCCAGCAGGGAACUGGCACACAGGCCAAGGAGGUUGAAGUCCUAUGUGGAGCCUUAAUACUGCUUUGCCACAUGCUGUUUGCUUCCCACGUAAUCAUUUUAAAAAUCAGGAAACUAAUCCUGAAAUCUAAUUAAAUUGCCACAGACUCCCUCACUCUGGCAUUGCUGCACUGAGAUUUGAAGCAGGUCUCGCUGACCAGAGCCCACAAUCUGACACAGCCAGACACGUCCUCUACCACCAAACUGGGCUCCAGUCCCAGCUGUGCUCUACCGGCUGUGGGCUCUGGGCAGCACAAUUCCAUUGCCUGGAGCUACUGCCUCAUCCUAUAGCUGUUGGGCAAGUGAGGCAAGGUCGCACCACCCCUUGUGAGCAGGGGCACCAGUGCUGGGCCCAAGGCAAGAGACCAGCUUCUCACCAACUCUCCAUGGAGGCCCUUGGCAUCACAGUUUGCACUAUUCCUGAGCUCCGAGGACUGCUGGGAAGGGGAGGUGUGUGAAGAUCAGGCAAAGGGACACAGCCACCACAGAGGACACACCCCGGACGUGACCCCUGGGUCUCUUGAGUGGCCCUGCGGUUCUCAGCUCAUUGUAGGCAGAGUGAUAAGCACACACAGAACAAAAAUGUCUCCCAAAAGAUAGCACUACAGAAUGGACCUUUCUAUCUUGUUUCGUCAUUGAGGUCUAGACUCAGAUCUCUCAAGAGGUCCCAGGCAAUGGCAGCCCAGGGGAGCGGGCUAAGCAGAGUCUGUUCACAGACAGGUGGAGCCAUGAAGGCCCCACCUGCUGGGUGCCUGAGCAGUCACAGCAGUGACCCAGAUCUGUCAUAGGUCUCUCUGGGUUCUGACCACCUGACUACAUGCCCCUACCCUCUGUACUACCAGGCUGCCCCGACGACUUCUCUGCGUUCCACCCCUGUGUCAGCACAUCCCUCCACACCCGGUCCUCCCUGACCUCGCCUCCCCUCUUUUACACUUGCAGGCGGACGCCUCCACUGUCUUUGGGAGUCAAAUCCCCCAGGUGGCCUGGAGCUGCUGUGUGAAUACAGAAUCUUUGUCUCCACCUGGACAUCACCUCUUGGCCCCACCAACACCUUCGGUUUACCUCCUCCAAGUCUGAGCUCACCACAGCUCAGAGGCCCAGGGGUCUUAGCUAACCCCUCUCUUUUCCCCCUCCACCAGAUCCAACCCACAACUUCUGCCUGCCCUGUACCCUCUGGUGCGAGCUUGUAUCUGGACACCACUCGUUCCAAGGAAAGCACAGCUUCCUCUCUGGACUCCAGCCCCCAUCCACACAUGAUUGCCGGGAGGUUCCACCUGACUCUCAGGCCUGACCACCCAACCCCUGUGCUCAGGCCUUCAGUGGCUCCUAUCAUCCUUGCGGUGAGCCCAGCCCCAACAGGCUGCACUUGUUCUUAAACCUGUGAAUCAGCACCCAUGCCGCCUGCUCUUGCUCAUCCUCAAAGGAUGAGACACAGUCACCUCCUAGGGAGCCCAGGGACAAAGCCUGGCCUGGGGCUUGCAGUCAAAGGCCUCCCAUAUCCUCCUUGACAUCCCCAGAAAGCCUGGAAUCUGUGUUUGCACAGCACUAUCCACCCUUGGUCGCACUGUCCACCCUGACCCACUCACC